This is a long non-coding RNA of Neofelis nebulosa (Clouded leopard), 12668 nucleotides long. RefSeq lists it as uncharacterized. The transcript is spliced from 2 exons. The record is from RefSeq and is a predicted model, not a curated record. Lineage: Eukaryota; Metazoa; Chordata; Mammalia; Carnivora; Felidae.
GGAGGGGGAGGGGGGGGACAACCCCCAAAAUGAAUGUUUUUAACCAGUGGUUCCAGGAUUUUCUAUUUUAUACCAGAAAGUUUCCUAAAUAAAUUGGGGACCAAUGAUAGGGUUGCUAGCAUUUUGAAAUAUAGAUAAUUCGACACACAUAUAGUUACUACCAUUAUAAAAGUAUGAGGGCCAUUGUUUUGGAAUAAAGGACAGUUUUUUAAAUUUGAAGAAAGUUUUAAAAAGACACAAUGCGUUAUCCUUAUUUUUCUCAUUUCUUUGUGGACUUAUUGGAGAUCAUUAUGUAUUUUGCCAUUUGAGAAGCACUGCUUUAAAUCAGCUUCCUAAAAUGUCUAUCAUGCAACCUUGCUUCUGUGUGCUAUUCUUAGGAGUUAGGCAGGAAAGGGGUUCCAUGUGGUAGGUUUAAAAAAGACAACUUGCAAGGCAGUGGUGGAAACUACUGAUUCUGGAGUUAAACAGACUUAGGCUCAAAUCUCAGCUGUGGCUGGUGAGUUAACUUGAGGAAAAUUAAAUAGAUUUGCUAAGCCUCAGUUGACUGACUGUAAAGUGGGAAUAGUGGUAUUGCCCCAUAGUGGUUGGAAGGAUUAAAUGUUGUAGUGCUGUUUCAGCACUUUGUGCAGUAGCUUGCAGAGUAACUGUUCAACAUAUGUUAAUUGCUGAUUCUGUUCAUUUUAUCAGUAAUGAAAACGGGGUGUCCUGAGCGUGCUUCUGAUCGGGUGCUCCUGCAGGACGUAUAGGGGAGCAAGCAGCAGGAAGGGAGAUGGCCGGUUUCCUUGAGCAGGCAGUAUGUUGGCGGUCAGAGGAAACCUCAGUGUGCUCGGGAGGGCAGAGUGUAGGAAAUGAACCCAAGUUUCGAGUUGUCUUAAGACUCCAGUGAAAAUGAGAAGUGGGAAUUGACAUUUCUUGUUUCCUCCUUUAGACCUCUCCUUUUGACUUGCAGAGAGAAGCCCCGUGUGGUUAUUUACUCUCUCCUGCUUGUACAGAGUGGUGCAGCUCCUCUUCUGGAAGCCUGAAGUUUGUCUUUUAGAUAGCUUCUUAGAAUGUUCCACAAACUUCUUUUUCUGAGCAAGAAAGGUAAAUUGUAGCAAGUAGAGUAAGUUGUCUUCACUAAAUUGUGAAAGGGAUGGGAUAACCGAGGCUCCUAUUUGUAUGAUGGUGUGUGUUGGAGGGGAGGUGCUGAGGACAGGGGACGGUAGUCACAAGGGGUUUUCUGCCUGGUGAGGGAAUUUAGAAAAUUGCCUGGUCAAUUCUUGUAAAUUUCCAUUCUAACUGGAAGCAGUUCUUCAUUUAAGUUACCUUGUUCUCCUUGGAAACUAUAUGGACAGAUAGGUUUUAAUGGGAAAAAAAUCAUCAUUAUGAUAGAAGUUAAUACAUAGUCAUUGUAAAGAUUUUACUAAUGAAAUAUGGAACAUGAAAACCAUCAUUCUUUGUAACCCCAUUCUAGCCAAUUUUAAAUCUUUAAUUACAGGGUUUGUAUUUAGGGACGUUUAUACUUGAUCAAGGACACCCAUGUUACUGCUUUGGGCACUUAACGACAGGCAGGACUUGAACUUGCUAGCCUGGUUAUUUUGUUUCCUGACGAGGUCCAGGCCUUGUCUCUCGGCAGGCCCCAGAGUAUUUUGUCCAGCAUGAUUCCUGCUUUGAGAAUCCUCUGGCUGUUUUGCCUUCAUUCAUUUAGCUUUUCUCCCACAGACAUUUGGUAGACCCUUUAUCUGUGCCUUUUGCUGGUCUGGAGUCUGAGGGUACAACUGCAAACAAGGUAGGAAGGCACAACCCUAACCCUCAGUAAGGCAGUUGGUCAGCAGAUAUUUGCAGACUUACCCACUAAGUGCCAGGUUCUCUGAUGGAUGCUGGGGAUAGAGUGACACAAGUCAGAAGGAGCCCCUGCCCUCUGCCAAAGGGAGACACAGUAAAUACACAAACAUUUUUCAAGGACAUAGAGUGCUGUAAAGUAAGCUAAUGAUGUUGGGCGGGGGGGUGGUAGCUCUAGCUAACAUGAUCAAGGAAGGCUUUUCUGGGAAUUUAGCAUUGGAGCUGAGAUCUAAAUGGUGUGAAAGACGCUGUCACUGGUUCAUCUGGGAUGGGGGAAGGAAUAUUCCAUGCGGAUGGAAAAAACAAUUACACAGCCUCUGUGAUAGGAACGGAGAGGAAUGGAGGAAAAAUGAAGCUUAUGAAGGUCAGACCACAAAGGCCAAGGUUAGGAUUUGGGUUUAUCCUACGCGUAAAGGGAGCCUACUGCAGGGGAAUGGCCUGAUCUGUGAAGUGUGAAAACCACCAGCUCUUGUAUGCUAAGUGUUUCGAGGGAAGGGUGUGGAGACCAGGCAAUUAGGUGAGAGGUGGUGAUGGCAGUGGCAGGGUAUCCUGUGGAGGGUAUGGUUUGGAGGUGGAUUUGACAUGAUUUCGUGAAGACUUGGAUGUGGGUGGGGGAGAAAGGUAAGGAUUGAGCAGCCGAGUGGUGAGGAGUGGCGGAGACAGUGGAGACUUGGUCAAGGGGCUCGGGUUUCGGCCACAGUGUGUGUGAGGUACUUAGCAUUGGCCUGCAGCUGUGGAGUAUACAGCCACGCCUGGUGGGGCAGCCUGGGCUGGUGGCGUUGUGCGCAUCCAUGUCACCUGCGUACAGAACCUGGAAAACUACGGGACAGGGUGAGUUCCUCCAAGGUGCGAGUGUGGACAGAGAGUAGAAGCGGGCCAGCGGUCCUCCUUGAGGGGGUGGGGUUGAGGAGGAAGCUGUGGGAGGGGGGAGGAAUCGCUAGGAGAUGGGAAGGGAAUCCAGCUGAGCGUGGUUGGUAUAGAAUUCAAAAGGAGAAACACUUGAAGUGAGGCGUGAUUGCCUAUGUCAGAUGCUGUGUGAAGUAAAGCCAGGCCAGGGAACUGAUCUUUGGCUCUGGAAGUGUGGAGGUGAUUAACGACCUUCAUCAGUGGAUGAAAUGCCUCAGUGGAGGGGGCUGAGGGAGGGACUGGGGGUACUGUGAGGACCAGCACUGAGGAAAUGGAGACGACAGAUGUGGGCAGGUCUCCAAAGGGUUUUGCUCUGAAAGAAAAUGGGGAAAUGUGGCAGUAGCAGGACAAGAGUAUGGAUAAAGGGGAAUAGGGAAGGUUUAUUUUAUUCCAUUUUGUUUUGUUUUGGAUAAUACUAGGUCAUAUUUGUCUGCCACUGGAAAUAUCCAGGAGUGGGGGAUAAUUGAUUGCAUGUGAGAAAAUAGAUAAAACUAUAAGGAUUAUGCUCUGAGAUGAGAAAAGGGGAUGGGAUCAGUGCCCAAGUAGACUGGUCAGCUUUGGAUAGAAUGGGACUUUAUUCUGGUAUUCUGAGAGGAAGAGCCUGUAGAUGCAUUGCGGGUAGAAACAUGGAAUUGGGGAAGCAUAAGGUAAUUAGUUCUUUCCUGUGAAGUAGGAGAGAAGUUAGGAGGUCAUCAGUUAGUUGAGAGUGGAUAGGAAGAAUUUUGUCUGCCAGUUUUCCAGAGAAUGCAGCUGGGUGGAGGAGGGUGGAUAGCCAAGUAAACUGGCAGUUACAUAUCCCUUGGAGGCUUCCCAGUGCACUUAGAGGGAAUCCAAACUUCCUAGCAACCCUGCGAGGCCUUGGGUGGUGAGAAGGUAAGCCCAGAAAAUCAGGCAUCUCCAUAACUUGGCAGGGAGGACAGGGUGAGUUGGUGGGAAAGCAGGGGUUAGUUAAGGAAGGCUUCCUGGAGGAGAUGAAUGGGGAAGUUGGCGCUGUUGUUAAUCCUUGAAGGAGGAGUUAGCCAGUCUGGUGUGGAAGCAACUUCUGAGGUGGGGACAUCUCUGCGUCGGAGCCCAGAGCUUGGCUGGAGCACUGGAGGGUAGGAGACAGAGGUGCAGCAGGAGACAGGUCACCCCAGGGGGUGGGCGUUGGGAGACCAGCAUGGUAGCUAUGUGCAGAUUGAACUGGCAGGGGUAGAAGUGGAGGUUGGAGGCCAGUGGGGCAUGGAGCCUGCCUUCUUCAUGUGAAAUCCUCAAGUGUUUAUUUAGGUAACGAAAAACUGAGGAAGUGGGGUUUUAAAAUACAAUUUUACAGUCUAAAGUGGAUUGUUUCUGUCUGGUAAAACCCUCUCAUGUGUCUUUUUGUUGGUGUUCGUUCAUUAAUUCAGUCAGCCUGUAUUUACUGAACACCUAUUUUGUGCUAGAUACUGUUCUCAUUUUCAGAAAAAAACAGGAAAUGUUCCAGAACUGCCCUUAUAGAGCUUCUAUCUAGUGAAGGAGACCGGUAACAACAACAAAUUGAAACAUCUAUGUUAGGUGGUGAUGAGUGUUCUGGAGAAAGAUAAAGCAUGGAAGCAUGCAGUUUAAAAUAGGGUGAGGAAUUUUCUGAACCAAGGCUUAGAGGAUAUGAAGGCACGAGCCAUCUGGAUGUCAUGGAUGAGCUUUAGGCCGAAAGAACAGCAAAUCCAAAGGCCCUGAUGGGAGAGGAUCAUAGGGUGUUGACAGAAAGGCAGGGGACCAAGGUGUCUGGGAAGAUGAGUAGGAGUGUAGAAGUCACUUGCUGAGGGCUUGGGGGUAAGUUGGAGAGGCAGACGCCACAGGGCUUUGUAGCCCAGUGAAAAUUCAAAUCCUUUUACUAUGGCCUACAGGCCCUGCUUGGUCUGGCCUCUGCCAGGCUGUUCACCCUCCCCAUCUUCCAUUUUCCCCUUUGCCUAUAGUGCCUCAGGCCUGCUAGCCUCCUUCCAAUUCUUCACAUGCUCUGGGCUGUUUCCCACCUCUGAACCCUUGCCUGUUCCGUUGCCACUGCCUGGACUACUACUGCUUCUCCUUCUGGCCCCACACCUUCCUUAGCUUAGGGGUCACCCUCCUCAAAUUGAGUCCUUCAUGUCGCUAUCCCUUUAGAGCCCUUAUCAAAAACUGUCCAUUAGUAUCUUGUGAUGACGGAGAGCAAGCUAUCAUUCUUACUAAAACGUGACAUUACUGUUAGAUUGGGAUCUGAAUACUGGGUACAAGGAACUAACAUGACAAAUUUUUACACAAGUUGGCUAAAUUUGCAAAAUUGCUGUCUGCCUGGAGGGGAAAACAGUAUAGACCACCUGGUAAUAAUAAUCUUUGGCCUCUUGUUGGGGAGGCGUGGUAGUGUUCACUGCAAUAACAUUUCAUUUCCUUAUUGGUGAUAAAGCUUGGUAGACCCUUGUUCCUCUCUGCUUCCAGUGUUCUAGCACCCUCUUUUUGGUCGAGUAACAGUGUGCUGUGAAAAGAGAAAUGGUUUUGGUUUUGGAAUAACUGGUUUUGUAGGAAUAAAUGACAGUGUGCCUGAAUCCCUCUAUUACAUCAUCAGGGGUUUCUUUCCCAAGAUAAACUCUGUGCUUGUUUCAACCUCUACAUAGGAAAUUUAUUUUCUUCCUUCCCUUUAUUCCUGUUUCUAGGCCUUUUUCUGUCUCCUCUGAUGAACCACUGUACUAGGGACAGGCUCGGAGUUUACAGCAGAUUUUAGGUACUACACUUUCUCUCCUUAUCUCAGCCUCAUGUCUGAGGAGCUUUCCAUUGUUAACUGGCAGCUGCAGUGACUGUGUCUUUAAAAGAUCUUGUGUGUUGGGUAGAUGUUUUCCUAAAAGCUGUUGGCUGUUACUGAAAAUAAUCUGUUGUGUGAGUUUACAAUCUCUCCAUGAAUCAUAGUUUUCUCAUUAAGGAGAUAGUUAUGCGAGGGUAACAAAUAAAACAACUAAUUUUUUUUAAACUUUAAAAACCAAACCAUCCAGCUAGAUUACUCAAGUUGGUAAGCACUAGUAUUCAUCAAAUGCCAUGUAAGGGUCUGUAGAAAUUUCACAAAGAUCUUUUUUUCCUCACUAGUAAUUCUGAAAUAAGAACAGCUUCUUAAAUACAGGAUUUCAAUAAAUGACAUUUAAGAAUUAUGAAAUCCUGAUAGCUAUAUGCUUUACUUAACACUGGGAAAAUGCCUUUAAGAAGAAUUUUAGGGGGGUGGGGCACCUGGGUGGCUCAGUCGGUUAAGUGCCCAACUCUUGAUUUCGGGUCAGGUUAUGAUCUCAUGGUUCAUGAGUUUGAGCCCAGCGUCAGGCUUUGGGCUGACGGUGCAGAGAGCCUGCUUGGGAUUCUCUCUCUACCUCUCUUUCUGCCCCUCCCUUGCUCACACUGUCUCUUUCAAAAUAAACUUUAAAAUCUGUAUAUUGGAGAAAAAAAAAAUUAGGGGCACUUGGGUGGCACAGUCGGUUAAGUGCCUGACUUCAGCUGAGAUCAUGAUCUUGAGGUUUGUGAGUUCAAGCUCUGUGUUGGGCUCUGUGCUGACAGCUCAGAGCCUGGAGCCUCUUUUGGAUUCUGUGUUUCCCCUUUCUGCCCCCCUCCUCCACUCAUGGUCUAUCUCUUUUCUCAAAAAUAAAUAAACAUGAGGGGCACCUGGGUGGCUUGAGCAUCAGGUCAUGAUGUCGUGGUUGACAAGUUUGACCCCACGUAGGGCUCUGUGUGGGCAGCUGAGAGCCUGGAGCCUGCUUCGGAUUCUGUGUCUUCCUCUCUCUCUGCCCCACUUGUGCUUACACUCUCUCUCUCAAAAAAUAAACAAUUUUUUUUUUUUUUUUACAUGCAGAUUCCCAGGGGUGCCUGGGUGGCUCGGUUGGUUAAGCAUCCAACUUCAGCUCAGGUCAUGAUCUCGCGGUUUGUGAGUUUAAGCCCCGCAUUGGGCUCUGUGCUAAUAGCUCAGAGCCUGAAGUCUGCUUCAGUUUCCGUGUCUCCCUCUCUCUCUGCCCCUCCCCUGCUCAUGCUCUGUCUCUCUCUGUCUCAAAAAUAAAUAAAAAAAUUUUAAAAAAUUAAAAAAAUAAACAUGAAACAAAUUUUUUUUUAAUUUAAAAAGAGGAAUUUUAUUUACAACUUGAAAAAUUAAGCAUCUUAGCCAAUACCUUGUAGUGACUAAUAGCAUUAUUAAUGGCUGUCAUUGUUUGACCACUUCUGUGAGCCAGGCACCACACACGGAUUGCCUCAGUUAGUCCUUACAAAGUACUGCAAAGCAGGUAUUUCCAUCAUCCCCAUUUUAAGGAUGAAAAAACUGAGGCUCAGCUCAGGAAAAUUGACUUGCCCCAAAUUACAUAGCAUCUAAGUGGCAAUGCUGGGAUUUCUGGUCUGGCUGACUCCAAAGCCAGAUGUUUCCCUGAUCUGUUUUUAGCAGUGGCUAAUUUCUGCGUGUUGAACACUCCUUUAUGAGGAGGCACUAGGAAUUGGCUUUAACUUAUUGGCAAACAGAGUGUCCAUGCACCCACCAGAGAGCUGUUUAAAAUCAAGGAACUCAGUGUUUUAGGGACUAGCAGCAGCAGUGAAGUUCUGGUGGGAGAGUGGGUGUACUGUCUGAGAACUUUGGACUUAAAAUGUUGGGACUGGUGGGUUAGAGAGAGAGAGAGAGAGAGAGAGAGAGAGAGAGAGAGUGUGUGUGUGUGUGUGUGUGUUAGGCCAUGCAGGGAUUCACUUAAAAUUCAUAGUAAACAUAAUUUCUAAAGUGCACAGUGGACAAAUGGUUAACUCUCUGAAAAUAAAUCCUAAUAGUUUGUUAGCUGAGACAGGAAAAAAUAAUUUAGACAUUUCUUGAUAUAACAGGGAAGUGGCAUGCAUACUAUGCAUACUAACCUUUUAGGACAUUAUCUGUUUUUUUUAAUGUUUAUUUUUGAGAGAGAGCAUGUGUGCACAUGUAUGAGCGUGAAUGGGGGAGGGGCAGAGAGAGAGACAGAGGAUUCGAAGUGGGCUCUGUGCUGAUGUGGGGCUCAAAGCCAUGAACUGUGAGAUCGUGAGCUGAGAGCCCAAUGUGGGGCCAGAACCCAUGAAAUAUGAGAUCCUGACCUGAGCCGAAGUCAGAUGCUUAACCGACUGAGCCACCCAGGCGCCCCAAAACAGUGUCUUUAUCUGGACAGAUAAAUAAACACAGCUAAUACAGUCUUUUAUAAUAAUGCAUAAAUAUGCUAACUAACUUGAAUGUAAAUUUAAAAAAUAAAAGAAAAAACAAACAAAAAAAUAAUGCACAAAGAUACUUAUAAUCCAGAGAUUCUCCAGGAGUCUUUCUUUCAAAAAUUAGACUCACUAAAUUUUACUACCUUACUUGCCAAACCAUUUUCUGGUUGGUAUUAAGUAGCUGAAUUGAUCGAUCGAUCUCUUUCUUGUUUUCCCAUCUCUGCUGGUCUUGUUGGUAGUGCUUCCAAAAGAGAAAUAGGUUACAAUAACAACAAAACUUUCCAUCAAAUAUUUCUCUCUGCUUUGGUCAUGUUGCAUUACUGUGGUCUUGUCUACGUGCAGCACGACUGGCACAGGCAUGUGGGAGUUUUCUUGAAGACCAGGCCGGCCUCCUCUUGCUGGCCGCAGAGCCACCCCCAGCUUUCUGUCUCUGCUCUGCACACAGUGGGUUCAUCCUGCCCGUUGUCAGUGCAGAGAUGAUUGAGAACUGGGAAUUACCUGUUCAGUUGCCUUUGAUAGGAAUCUACGGUUUUGAAAUAGUUACGACUAAACUGGACAUAAUUUUUCUUUCUUUUUGUUCUUUCUUUCAUUCUCUACUUUCUCUCUCUCUCUCUCUCUCUCUCUCUCUCUCUCUCUCUCUUUUCUUUCUACAGGAAAAAUAGAUCUUAAUGUAUAUUUUAAUGGUUUUCAAACAGUGCUGAUUACUUUGAGAGGUCAGACUUUCAUGUUUGGCUUUGGUAGAAUUUAGCAGGCCCUGUUAAGAGACAGCUUUUCUUCCAUUUUACAAGAUAACAAGUUUUUAUUUUUAUUCCCAAAUCCCCAGGAAAUUUUCAGUGCUGUCAGUUUUAUGAAAAGGUAAUUAGGGAGCGAGUAGGGAAUAUGUCUUGCAAGCGGUUGGUUUGGCAUCUUCCCUCAAGUUCUUAUUUGCCUGAUGAAACUAUCUCGUAAUAAGAUCCCUUUGUGUGCAGCCCCUCUGCAGUUCCCUGGAAGGCCUUGGCCAUAAUUAUGUCUAUAUCUGGGUCCUGUCAAAUGACGAGAGGAGCCAGAGUAGAAGAACGGCCACCCUGACCUUUUGCAAAUCUCACAGUUUAAAACUUGAGGUGGCUUCUAACAGACUCCUAUUGCUUAAGGGUUUUUGUACCAGCGUUGAAGGCACUGAGCAGGUAGCUCCUUCUGUGGAGACAUACCAAGAGUGUGUGCACUGAUUUUGUUAAAUAUGGCUGCAAGAGGACCAUAUGGGGCAUGGGAGAGUGGAGCAGUCUCUUUCAAAGAACCACUAAGGGAUUAAAAUGAAACAGGGGUCGAGAAGAGGUCAGCCCUUAAAGCUGGAGUCAAUGGAGUGUAUACUGGAAGUUCCAACUUCUUGUUUCUACUGCUUAUCCUGGUAUUUACUUGUGAGCACUCCCUCCCCACUCGCCCCCCAGAAAGUGGAGGGGAUACAUGAAGUUUAAUUACUCGGAAUUGUAACUGAGUUCUGAUCAAGGGUUUGCAAGCACUAGCUGUAGAUACCCACGUGUGGAGUCUGUGCAUAUAGGGUGCCUAGCCUUGACUAUGGUGUCAGGAAGGAAGAGCCCCUAAGACCAGAGACGGUGUUCAUGGACUUGCUCUUCCUGCAGAAAACAAGCCAAAUCCCUGGCCUGUGAGGCCACCGAGGGUCAGAUCAGUGUUCCCCUUUCCUUACAGCCUUUGCCUUCUUUUAGGAAGAAAGGUGCAUCAUUGCCAUCUGUUGUGGCUGUUGUUUGGUUUUCUUUGCUCUUGGCUGUAUUUUUUCUGGAUUAGGUGGUGUACAUUGUACACCCACACCGUAAAUUGCCCCCAACCCCUCUACUCUUACUUAGGAAGAGCUCACAUGAAAUCCUGCUCCCAUUCAGUGUUUCCUAGCUGGUAUUCUGAUGUGGGUGACCAAUGCAAAUUGGGACUGUGACACACCUGUGUCAGGACAGGGAGUCCUUUAAGUAUAGGUGGAAGUAGACCAUGAAGAACUAACACACACAAGGGUUUUGAAACAAGUGGUUCUUAAACUGGAUUUAUUUGAGCAGGGGGAGGUCCUCGAACCCCUUUGUAGAUAUAUACGAUAUACUGUCUGUGUUUGCCUAAGUACAGUUAUCUAAAAAGAGAGAAUAUGCUCUUGAACAGAUACUCAGAAGCCUUUUAAAACCCAGUAGGGUUUGGCACCACCAAUAAAAAUACCCAAAGACUUUUUGCAAGCUUACAGCAAGUCUCCACUUUGUAAGCUUACAGCAAGUCUCCACUGUUAUUUUGUUUGUAGUUAAAGUAGGUUUUUGGGUCCAUAUUCUAGAUAAUUUUAAAAAUCUCCUAUUCACUUUCUAAAUCUUGUGGUUUGCUUACUUAAUGUUCUCACAGCAGUAUUAUUUUCUGUAAUUUUCAUUAGAAGCCUAGUGGUAUUCUGGCUACAUUAAAGGUUGUAAGAAUCCUAAGUUGGCCAGCUUGAGAAGAUACCCAUUUUUUGUCCUAGUGGUGUCUUGGGGAUCUGCAUCAUUGCAGAUAGACAGGCAGAUAGAUAAAAAGCUCAGUCUCACCUGACAUUUUGAAAUGAACCUGUUUAUAAAUUCAGGGCAAACAAGGGACAGGCUUUAGGACAUGAGGUGGCCGCCAGGGUAAUUUUUGUGAAACUCACAUCGAAUAUUGUUUAUUAUUGCUUAACUGACUUCACGGAUUCCCAUUGCCCUUUGGGUAAAACUAAAACUACUUAAUGUGGCUGAUGGACAAAGUUCUGUUUGCCUGAGGCCACCAUAGCCUCUCAGCCCCUUAGCCUUUCCCUCUGGGUUAUGUAUGUCUAUCUGUCCCUAUGUGCAGGGUCACUACCCCCUUACCCCAGACACCCUUCCCUGCCCUGCUCCCUUCUUUCGUCUAAUCCCCUCCCCUGCCACAAAAAAUUAACCUUCAUUUCUUAGGUCCCUGCUUUGACCUUAGUUCUUCCAGGCAGCCUUUCUUGGGCCUCUGGUCCAGCUUUAUGUCUGCAGCAUCCUUUUUGUGUUCAGCCAUAAGGAGAGCUUCCCAUGUCAUUGCAUAGAGCUUUGCUUUUGUUUUUCUUUCUUUUUUUAAACUGCGUAGUGGUUUGUAAUAUGAAUACACUGUGGUUGUUUAAAACUCGACCUCAGUGGAUGGACAUUUAGGCUCUUGGUAGUUUUGCUGCUUUUAUCGACAGUGGUACAGUUCAAGUGCUUUUACAAGCUUCUUAGCACUAGUGAAAUUUUUAUUUGCUGGUUUUGUAAAUGAGCAGACAAAUGGAAGGUAUAUUUAAGUAGAUAAUGCCAAAGCGCCCUCCAGAAAGACUUUUCUGGUGUCAGAGGUCCAUUGAGAUGACAGAAAAGUAUGUUGAUGCCUGGGAGUGCAGUUCCUUUCUCUUGGAGUCUGCCUCUCCGUAAGGAACUGGCAGGGUCAGCUUUUUUUCCCCUGAUCUCCUACUCCCCAAGUACUGGGCUGUUGAAAUUGCAGUCUUCUAUCCUGUAGAACCUUAGAGCCCUGUGAUUUGAAGGUGCAGUCUGACCUUCAAAGUGUUGUUGUUAACAGAAGAAUUAAUUUUAUGCUUCCUGGUUACAAUGAUUUGCUUCAUCUGAGAAUCGCAGACUACUGGAGUGUUCCCUCUUUAAUCCACACAAAAUCUGGGGUACCAUUUUUGCCAACUUACUGUUGACUUUCUUCACCUACUCUGUAAGCCUCAGCCUCCACAGUCUCAAAGGCAAAAAGCUGUUUUCUACCUUCCUGAAGAUAGUCUACGAUGACUGAACUGUACAUCUCAUAACAGGAUUUGGGGUUGAAUAAGGAACAGACUGUUAAGUGACUGUCCUCUCAGCUACUUUUCUUUUUUUAAAAAAAAGAGGAAAUAGAAUUUCCCUGUGACUGCGGUAAUCUCCCUUGUUUUCCCUCCUGAUAAAAUGGUAUUCUUCCUUGGGUCCUGAAAAAAACCUUUGCAGAGUAGUUUGUUAGAUAAUCUUUCUGGGGGGGGGGGGGCGGUAUUUGUUCCUGCUGAAGGAAUAAUGAAAUUGAUACCUCACAGAUACCUAUUGGACCAAAUGGCUAGUUGAUUUUUGUUGUUGUUGUUAGUUUGUAUCAUACUUAAGAUGGAACCCCCCCCCCUUUUUUUUAAGGUAAUUGGAAGUUGGGUGAUUGAUUCACAGAUUUUGCACUUGAAAAGAUAUGGAUGUUCAUCCUAACUUUCAGAAUCAUCAGUUGCCCUAACUCCUUUGCAGCUAAUGACCAACACUGCAUUUGUACUGAGAAGCCAAAGACUAAUUCCUCUAGGAGCUGGGGAAGUCUGAAAACCACCCCCGUGUGUCCUGUCCUCUCCUAUCUGCCUGCCAGCUGGCAGCCUCUCCCACCUCCCACUGCCUCUUCCACCCUGCCUACUCGGAGGUUAUGAUUGCGUCUGGCCUCUCGGGCACACCGUGUGCGAAAUUCUGCCACUUCUGGGAAGAGAAUUCACAGAAAGAAUUGAAUUGCCUGUUUCUCUGAGUCCUUGGGGGCAGGGGAUGUUUUUGUUUAUGUUGAUGGGAACCACUCUUGGAACGAUGAAUGGAGAGAUCAGAAAUGAGACAGUCAUCCUACUACACACUUCUUUCCAGAGAUCAAGAUGGGAUGGAGGAGUGCUGGGAAAGAGACGGCCUUUGUGAGAGGCAGAAAGGGAAUACUUUUGGAUGGUAACUGAGGGAAGAGAGGGUGAAAUGAGGAGUGUUACAUCCUGGUGACUCAGUUGUUUUUAAAUACUUCCUCUCUGGGUUCCUGUAAUCACACCAAGAGUUUUGCAGGGUGUUAAU